AGUGAACGCUGGCGGUAGGCCUAACACAUGCAAGUCGAACGGCAGCACAGUAAGAGCUUGCUCUUACGGGUGGCGAGUGGCGGACGGGUGAGGAAUACAUCGGAAUCUACUUUUUCGUGGGGGAUAACGUAGGGAAACUUACGCUAAUACCGCAUACGACCUACGGGUGAAAGCAGGGGAUCUUCGGACCUUGCGCGAUUGAAUGAGCCGAUGUCGGAUUAGCUAGUUGGCGGGGUAAGGGCCCACCAAGGCGACGAUCCGUAGCUGGUCUGAGAGGAUGAUCAGCCACACUGGAACUGAGACACGGUCCAGACUCCUACGGGAGGCAGCAGUGGGGAAUAUUGGACAAUGGGCGCAAGCCUGAUCCAGCCAUACCGCGUGGGUGAAGAAGGCCUUCGGGUUGAAAAGCCCUUUUGUUGGGAAAGAAAAGCAGCAGGUUAAUACCCCGCUGUUCUGACGGUACCCAAAGAAUAAGCACCGGCUAACUUCGUG
Molecule: ribosomal RNA, 492 nt
Filed under: uncultured bacterium
Lineage: Bacteria
Description: partial 16S ribosomal RNA
Rfam family: Bacterial small subunit ribosomal RNA
Source: RNAcentral